GGGGUUGUGGUUCAGCGGUAGAGCAUUCGCCUACUAUGUGAAGACCCUGGGUCCAAUCCUCAGCACCACA
Molecule: transfer RNA, 70 nt
Filed under: Marmota monax (woodchuck)
Lineage: Eukaryota; Metazoa; Chordata; Mammalia; Rodentia; Sciuridae
Description: tRNA.Ser
Source: RNAcentral